Molecule: non-coding RNA, 44 nt
Filed under: Schistosoma mansoni
Lineage: Eukaryota; Metazoa; Platyhelminthes; Trematoda; Strigeidida; Schistosomatidae
Source: RNAcentral
AUCCAUCUGACGAGUCCCAAAUAGGACGAAAUGCACGUCUGGAU